RNAcentral lists this long non-coding RNA (210 nucleotides) under Elaeis guineensis (African oil palm). RNAcentral's name for it is "long non-coding RNA (EGUI_LNC046828)". Lineage: Eukaryota; Viridiplantae; Streptophyta; Magnoliopsida; Arecales; Arecaceae. The record is from RNAcentral.
GUGGGUUGUAAAUUGAUGGGAGAACAAUGUCAAGGUGACAGAAUAGAUUUAAACUUCUGUGCACUAUUGAAUUCAUCCAAUGAUAUUCUCUAUUCAUUAAUACGAGAGUGAAAGAUGGAUGAUAAAAUAUACGUAUCACCUGAUGAGUUGAAAUAAUAUGAUUUGAUGACGAUGAGCCAAUGAGAUGUACUGGUGAGCACUUAGGAUCAC